GCGCAGGACCCAUCUUGUUCAAUCGUUCUCAGUUGUUUUCCUCUACUGGUUAUACUACGUUUCAUGAUUUUGGCUCCAAAUAAGAAAUUUAGACUAUAAAUUUAUAUAUUUAUCUUUACUAUUACUACUAUUAUCUGCAUUUUUCUGAGUUUGUUUCUGUUUUGGGUCCUGCUAUAACUCUCUCUUGAUUGCUCUUAUUUUGUUUAAAAAAAAAAAAAUUUGUGCACUUGUUUUGUUGGCGUUUUCAUGGCUUCCUCCAGUGGAACAUCUUCAGGGUCAAGUUUGAUGCAGAACUCAGGUUCUGAAGAGGCAUUGAUGGAUCAAAGGAAGAGGAAGAGGAUGAUCUCAAAUCGAGAAUCAGCAAGGAGGUCUCGGAUGAGAAAACAGAAGCAUUUGGAUGAUCUAAUGGCACAAGUGGCUCAGCUGAGUAAGGAGAACCACCAGCUUAUCACAAGCAUCAAUAUCACCACUCAGCAGUACCUGAACGUAGAGGCUGAUAACUCUAUACUCAAUGCUCAAAUUGGUGAGCUUAGCCACAGAUUGCAGUCUUUGAAUGAAAUCAUUUCCUUCCUGAGUGCAAAUAAUGGUCUUUAUGGAGAUUCAAGCACUUUCAAUGAGCCGGCUGAUAGCUUCUUCAACCCACUGAACAUGCCAUAUCUGAAUCAGCCUAUAAUGGCCUCUGCAGAUAUUUUUCAAUACUAGCUAAGACCCAUCUCCAGAUUAUUGCGACUGCUGUGGAUGAAUGGAAAAGAGAGAGAGAGAGAGUGAGAAGAGAGAGAAAAUCUGCCCUUGUAGCUUUUAAAGCUUAAGAAACAUUACUGGAUAGUGGUUAAAAAUUAAGUAAUAAUAAUAAUAAGGGAUAUGUAGAAGAACCAAGGAUGUGAUUAGUGGUCUGUAAAUGUGGUUUGCUAUAGUAUUAUCAUGGUUCAAGGGCAGUUGAUGAUGUUGUAGUUUUCUGCUGUUAUCAAUUAAUGUAAUGCUUUAUUUUACUCUCAGCUUUUGCUUUUCAGCUGAUUCAACUAGUGUGAAUGCUCUCUAUUACUUAGGUCAAGUCUCUAGUAGAUGAAUGCCUUGGCAUAAAUGGGGAUGAUUCCUACUUUUGUAUGGACUUGAAACAGGGUUGUUAUGCUCAGAUUUGUGUAUUUCUAACUUCUCUCAUGUUCAUGUUAAUAAAGGAAGAAAAUCAAAU
This 1189-nucleotide unclassified non-coding RNA is filed under the name Hevea brasiliensis (rubber tree). The record is from RNAcentral. Lineage: Eukaryota; Viridiplantae; Streptophyta; Magnoliopsida; Malpighiales; Euphorbiaceae.